UGUACAGUUUGGUGAGUUUUGACAAAUAUAUCCAAGUACGUAACCACCACCACAAUCAAAAUACAGAUAGAGCCUUCUUAUCACCCCAAAAAGUUCUCUUUACAAUUGAUUCUCCUAUUACUACCCCAAUCUCCAGCCUUAGGCAAGAGAUCCUGCAGAUCCUUUGCCCAACUUCCUGGAGUUACCAUCUUGCAUAACCAUGUAUGUUUGUCAAAACCGAGAAAUUAACAUUGCUACAGUAUCACGAACCAAACUAUCAGCUCUAAUCAGAUUUCACCAAUUUUCUCAUUAAUGUCCUUUUUCUGCUCCAGGAUCCAUUCCAGGAGUGCACCCAGGAUUGUAUUUAGUAAUCAUGUCUCCUUAUUCUCUUCUGAUCACUUAUUUCAGUGAACUAGCCACAUUUCAAGUUCUCAAUGGCCAUAUGACUCAGGCUACCAUAUUGGAGAGCACAGCUCUAGACCUUUUUGAAACCAGUGCAGGACAGGCCGGGAUCUUGAUAUUUGGCUGAUUUGUGAAGGCAAAGUGGGAGCAGAGAGACUGCUGGGAGGUGACUGUGACUGGGUAGAGAUUUGGACCAGGAGAGAGCGAGAGAAGAUGCCGGACCAUGCUGCCAUUCUGGGGGAGAGGCAGAGUGUGAAAUGAGCUGACAGAAGAGACCAACAUGGAGAGCUUUACCCCCACAGCCCACAGCAGACACAUCACAGAGUUACCAGGAAUUCCAGAAAGGAAGUCAAGUGAUGAAAGACUGAAGGACAGGAAGCCUGGGAGGACUGCUCCCUAAGGGAAGCUGGGUGGAAAGUUCUCACGGAGUCCAGCCCUGUUCCGCCUGCUCUGUCCCGGGGGUCUCUCGGACCCUGUCCCUCUGCGAAUUGAGGAGUGGUCCUAAUUGCCAGUUGCCUUAAAGAGUUUGGGGAAACUGAAGACUGUGGUCCUUUAUAGGCAGGUUCUGGAUCAAGAAGGGUGGGGGAGGUCCUGGAUUUGGAUUCCUGAAAUCCACAGACAACCCUGCCCUUACACUACUUUAUUUUAAAGGUUUUGUUUUGUUUUAAAUUACAAAAGUAAAACAAACAUGCUGAAAAACAGCAUAAACAUACACAGUGCAUAGGCCGGGCUCAGUGGCUCAUGCCUGUAAUCUCAGCACUUUGGGAGGCCAAGGCAGGUGGAUCAUGAGGUCAGGAAUUCAAGACCAACCUGGCCAAGAUGGUCAAACCCUGUCUCUACCAAAAAUACAAAAAUUAGCCAGACAUGGUGGCAGGCACCUGUAAUCCCAGGUACUUGGGAGGCUGAGACAGGAGAAUUGCUUGAACCCAGGGGGCGGAGGUUGCAGUGAGCCAAGAUCGUGCCACUGCACUGCACUCCAGCCUGGGUGACAGAGUGAUACUCCAUCUCAGAAACAAAACGAAACAAACAAACAAAAACAUAUACAGUGCAUAAAGAAAAAGGCAGAAGUCCUUCUCCAGGUGGCCUCCCUGCCCAAGUCUGCUCCUCAAGGUGGGCCCUGCAGCUGCUGGAAUCUCCUGUGCUGGGGAGCCCUCCAUGCUGCCUCCCUCCAGGCCUUUAAUCCAGUCUUGAGGUGCCUGAAUCUCUGUUUUUUACACCUGCACACCCUCUAGUGGGGGUGCUUUGCAAACUCAAUGUGAGGACAAGAAGACGGAGUGGCAGGUGGCAGGUGUGGCCUAAGGCACCCUCCCAUCAGGCUCCCCCGCCCUUGGAAAUUAGGAUCUUCAAUUUUGGUCCUGACCAAUUCCCAC
Non-coding RNA from Macaca mulatta (Rhesus monkey), 1751 nucleotides. Lineage: Eukaryota; Metazoa; Chordata; Mammalia; Primates; Cercopithecidae. The record is from RefSeq and is a predicted model, not a curated record.